AUGCAACCUUCCAUGCUGCCCACCACAGCAAUCAAUACAAAAUCAACAGCUUCCUGGAUGUACCCAACUUCUUCCAGUCGGAGAUUAGGAAAUCUAUUCGAGAUGUCAGAUUUAGGGAAUCCUCUCCUGUGACAAGACCUGGAUAAAAAAUGUCGGAAGCAAUAAUGUUUUAAAGAAGGGAAUUAAGAGUUUUUAUGAAUAAAAUAGAGUUAAAAGGCAAAUGGUUUUUGGUUGUUAAACAUUUACAUGCAUGUCUUUUAAAGCUUCCAAUCUUAUGAGGAUUCAGGGAGUUUAAUGUUUAAUGGUUGUGGAUUAACUAUUAAUACCUUCGUUUUAGCAAUUUGUUUAGAAUCACAAAUAUUUCUUUUAUUCCUUAAUUAAAGUUAACUCUAACAACAUUAAACAGAAAAAUGUGAAAUAUAUGACCAGAGAAGACGACAUCAAAUCCAAUUCUUUUUGGGAUAAUUAAAGUAAAUAUAGAAUGGAGAUUUCAUUCAUUUCAUUCAUCAGCUGUAUAGUUUCAACAAGCCUAUAGGUUUAAACUAAAUUAUGAAAAUUGUUAUUAUUAUUUGGAAUAUUUUUUUUGGUCAAUAAUUAAUUAUCAUUCUUGUAUUAAUCAAGAUGAAUUGUCAUAUUUUUCUUAAAUUGUCAGACGAUGCUAUUCUUCAUUAAAAGAUUGAUAUGCUCGAAUCACAAUGAAUUGAUCAUAUUUAAUUGUGGGUUUUCUAUGAAAGUUUAACAAAAAUAAACUGAAUACAAUUUAUUUUUAUAUUUAUGGUACAAAAAGUAAAAUAUUUUCCUCAAUAUUGUUCAGUGUUGUAAAGGGUUCCGUUGUGAAUCAGCAAUGAAAAUUAAGUCUUUAUAUUACUCUGACAAUCCAAGUAAGAAAAUAAGGUAAACUGCAAAGUUGUAUUUUGGAAUUUAUUUCCUCCGCUUAUAGAUAUAUUAUUCUGUGAACUGCAGUCCUAAUUAUUUAAUAUGUGUGUAAAUUUUACUUAUGUAACUUUUUGUUGAAGUUUUUUUAUAAAUCAGACUUGAAUUAAGAUGGUCUUCCAAAUCUUUUCAAUGUAUCAUUGUUCGAAGUUUAUGCAAUAAUUAAAUUCUGUUUCAACUAUAUUGACGAAAUAUAUUUGUACAUUAGUGAAA
Eurytemora carolleeae is the source of this 1146-nucleotide long non-coding RNA. RefSeq lists it as uncharacterized. The transcript is spliced from 4 exons. The record is from RefSeq and is a predicted model, not a curated record. Lineage: Eukaryota; Metazoa; Arthropoda; Copepoda; Calanoida; Temoridae.